RNAcentral lists this long non-coding RNA (1994 nucleotides) under Chloebia gouldiae (Gouldian finch). RNAcentral's name for it is "Erythrura gouldiae (Gouldian finch) lncRNA (ENSEGOG00005005519.1)". Lineage: Eukaryota; Metazoa; Chordata; Aves; Passeriformes; Passeridae. The record is from RNAcentral.
GGAGUGUUGCAGGGGAGAGAUCAGUGAAAAUCGCAGCAAUCUUAGGAAUAAGUAAUUUUGUGUAUCUGGCGCUGGGAGCGAACCAGACUUUCCUAAUUAGGACCGCGGCAUGGGUGAAACAAGCAAUUCUUCUUUCUCACAGAUAGCUGCAGCCGCAGUUCAUUAAUGAGCCGUCACUCGGGCAGGCUCCGGCGAGGAGCGCGGAUAGCCCCGCGGCCGGAGCGAGGAGGCUGCGGCGGGAGCGCGCUGUCGCAGCGCCCUGCGCCGCGGCUGCCACCGCGGGCUGCCGGCAUCGGACCCUGCCCCGGCUCGGCGCUUUGCCACAGCCUCAAGACCUGAACCACGCCUGGGGCUCUGGGCUGCUGUAACCUAGGAAGACAGUGAAGGCACAGUGACCAAUAAGCUGAGAAAAAGGAAAUGGGCUGAGAAGACAAUUUCAAUGGUCAUGUAAACCUGUGGCUGUCUGAAGUCCCGAGGCGUUUUGUGCAAGAACAGUGCCAUUAUCCACUGAAACCUGACCGUGUUCCACGCUGAGGGACAAGAUUCUGCAUUCAGAUUCCCCCUCCCACCACUGCAGUUGCACUCAUCCCCGGGUUUGUCCUGCGGCAGGACUGCUGGAGCCUGGCUCGCUGUACGAGCAGCCUUGUUGCUGUGCCGAGGGGAGUGUCCAGAUGCUUUUCUGGGUCUGCAGUGGUGGAAGCCAACUCCUGGAGCUCUGCCAAAGUGGACAUGGGUGAAACCCUGCAGUCAGGGGUCAUCAAUGGCAUCUUGCUCUCCCUCAGGAUGGAUCAGGAUCAGAUUUUACCCUGCCCUGGAUUGGCUUUGCAACAUUCACCAUGCCGUUCUGGAGGAGACAGCUUGCUGUCACCAGCUCUGGUCUCCAGCUAACUGUGCCAUCCUCAGUAGCUGCUGCACGUCCUGUCUCCAUGAAGCAGGGCUGGGUCUCAUUCCACAGGCACGGGCCUGUCACUGUGCCUCCUACUGCAUUCCAUGAUCCCUUCUCCACAGGGAAAAGGAGACCUGGUCAAUUCUACUGGCGCUGAACUGACUCCUAAGAGGAAGACAGGGUGGGAGACAGAGAGGAAGGCCAUCCUGGAUACCUAACAUCUGGGAUGAGGGAAGUCUCAAGGGCCCCAUGGUUCAGUUUUUAAAUCUAACUUGCAUGGCAGUGGGAAGUAUCCUUCAUGUCUUAGAUUCCAGACACUGUAAUUGGAUUUCCAAGCUUAUUAGUCGGUAGUGUGUGUUUACUGCAAAAGCCACUGAACCUGGCCUUCUUUUCCUGGGUAUCAGUGCCUUGCUGAAAAUGUACUUUCUAAUAGUAAGAGGUGUGCCACCAUGUGGAUCUUAAAAUGUAUUUUAAAGCCACAUUUGGCCUUCAGUGAGGAAAAGGUGAUCUAAUGGACUCUUCUUGGCCUGAUGUCUAUGAAUCCUUUCACAGUUUCCCAGGACACUCGGUGUGUUUGCUCAUGACGCUCCUGCAGCAGCAGUGGGCAGGGGCUGUGGUUCCUGCAGGGAUCUUCACCCCUGUCUUGCAGCCCAUCCCUCUCUCCUGCCCCAGGGGCUGAUUCCCACUGGCUGGACCAUGUCCUGGCUGCCUCCAGCUGAGACCUCCCUGGGCUAGUGCAAAUGAGGUUGCUGCAAAUCGCAUAAUGAAAAUUACUUCAGAUUUGUGCCAAGUUCAUUUCUCCCUCAAGGUCAGGGGACACUUUUUAUCCUGAACUCGUUCUUUCUACAUGCUGCCCUUUUUUAAACUGUUCUAGACUGAUGUCAUCCAUGCUGGUCUCAGCUAGAGGAGUAAUCUUCGUGGAAACUUUGAACAAAAUCCCCUCCACAUAUUUCAAAUGGGAGAGUGGUAAAAUAGACUUUGAUAAUUGUUAAAAGUAUAAUCAGUACUUUUGGCAAUGCCACAAGAGAAUAGAUGAUGUUGAAAAAUUAGCAGUAACACAGCUUUUGGCGGGGGGUGGUGGGGGAGUUGUACUGUGCUUGGUUGAAGG